RNAcentral lists this ribosomal RNA (253 nucleotides) under uncultured bacterium. Its description in RNAcentral is "partial 16S ribosomal RNA". It matches the Rfam family "Bacterial small subunit ribosomal RNA", at positions 524 to 776 of the family's 1533-position model. The record is from RNAcentral.
UACGUAGGGAGCAAGCGUUGUUCGGAAUUAUUGGGCGUAAAGAGCGCGUAGGCGGUCAGGUAAGUCUGACGUGAAAUCCCGGAGCUUAACUCCGGAACUGCGUUGGAUACUGCCAGACUCGAGUGUGGGAGAGGAGAGUGGAAUUCCCAGUGUAGAGGUGAAAUUCGUAGAUAUUGGGAGGAACACCGGUGGCGAAGGCGGCUCUCUGGACCACAACUGACGCUGAGGCGCGAAAGCCAGGGUAGCAAACGGG